GUUCAGGUGGCCUAAAGAUCCGAAUAAAUAGGGAUUCUCUAAAUAGAAUUUAGCGCGGUGGUGAGCAGGGUGUUACAUCCCCCCAACCUUAAAAAAUUUGGUCCAUCAAAUUUGUCUAAAAAAGGUUCAAAAUUUUUUUCUUCAUCUCGUUUCCCAACUUUUACGUCGCCUCUUCUGGAGUAUGGUGCUACCAUUGCACCUUCACCAUGGAG
Molecule: long non-coding RNA, 212 nt
Filed under: Carica papaya (papaya)
Lineage: Eukaryota; Viridiplantae; Streptophyta; Magnoliopsida; Brassicales; Caricaceae
Description: long non-coding RNA (CPAP_LNC010272)
Source: RNAcentral